UUAUCUUCCUGCCUGUCCCUCUCCCCAGCCUGCCACUGCACUGUGCAUGGCCGCUGUGAUGAGGGCCUUGGGGGCUCUGGCUCCUGCUUCUGUGAUGAAGGCUGGACUGGGCCACGCUGUGAGGUGCAACUGGGUGAGUAGCCCCGUGCUCGUGCCCACCCUAUACACUUGUGUACAUGUGCACACAUCAGUAAAGGCACCAAGGGUGGGCGGAACGGGCAGAGGCCAGGAAGGCAACUACUAACCUGGUUCUGGGGGCUGGGCCCUGGGGGACAGAGCUGCAGCCUGUGUGUACCCCACCCUGUGCACCUGAGGCUGUGUGCCGUGCAGGCAACAGCUGCGAGUGUGGCCUGGGCUAUGAAGGGGAUGGCCGCAUGUGUACAGGUAAGCAGAUGGGCGGGGACAUGGAGGUGGGAGGCCCCCACUCCCCUGCAGUCACUAGGUCCAACCACUCCCUCCCUGUCCUCAGUGGCAGACCUGUGCCAGGACGGGCAUGGCGGCUGCAGUGAGCAUGCCAACUGUAGCCAGGUAGGAACAGUGGUCACUUGUACCUGCCUGCCCGACUACGAGGGUGAUGGCUGGAGCUGCCGGGCCCGCAACCCCUGCACAGAUGGCCACCGCGGGGGCUGCAGCGAGCAUGCCGACUGCUUGAGCACCGGCCUGGUGAGCAGGUGGGGGAACCAAGCAGCCAGGGUGGGGAGGCCUGGCAGACCUUCCGACCUCUGAAGGGUGAAGGGCGCCCACUGCUCUCCCCAACCCCAGAACACACGGCGCUGUGAGUGCCAUGCAGGCUACGUAGGCGAUGGACUGCAGUGUCUGGAGGAGUCGGAACCACCUGUGGACCGCUGCCUGGGCCAGCCACCGCCCUGCCACUCAGAUGCCGUGUGCACUGACCUGCACUUCCAGGGUGUGUCCCCCUGCCCACUCCCAGUAUCCAUUUCAUUCCUCAGAGCCGGCCAGCUGACCGUGCACCCCUCCAUUCUGCAGAGAAACGGGCUGGCGUCUUCCACCUCCAGGCCACCAGCGGCCCUUAUGGUCUGAACUUUUCGGAGGCUGAGGUGGCAUGCGAAGCACAGGGAGCCGUCCUUGCUUCAUUCCCUCAGCUCUCUGCUGCCCAGCAGGUGUGUGGGGCCCAGAAGUGUUGGGGGAGGCCUUGACUGAGUCUUGGGUCUCAGUAUCCCCUCCUGUUCCUACAGCUGGGCUUCCACCUGUGCCUCAUGGGCUGGCUGGCCAAUGGCUCCACUGCCCACCCUGUGGUUUUCCCUGCGGCGGACUGUGGCAAUGGUCGGGUGGGCAUAGUCAGCCUGGGUGCCCGCAAGAACCUCUCGGAGCGCUGGGAUGCCUACUGCUUCCGUGUGCAAGAUGUGGCCUGCCGUUGCCGAGAUGGCUUCGUGGGUGACGGGAUCAGCAUGUGCAAUGGGAAGCUGCUGGAUGUGCUGGCUGCCACUGCCAACUUCUCCACCUUCUAUGGGAUGCUACUGGGCUAUGCCAAUGCCACCCAGCGGGGUCUCGACUUCCUGGACUUCCUGAAUGAUGAGCUCACAUAUAAGACACUCUUUGUCCCUGUCAAUGAA
Molecule: small RNA, 1574 nt
Filed under: Pongo abelii (Sumatran orangutan)
Lineage: Eukaryota; Metazoa; Chordata; Mammalia; Primates; Hominidae
Description: retained intron
Source: RNAcentral